AAUGCCGUGGCAAAGAAGGCGGGCAAGGUGCUGGACUGCUGGCGUAUAAAUUCUCUCGGAGGUCAGAACUCAGACAGUCAGAACUUAGAAGUAAUCAACAGUGAGUGAUAGGAUGUCAUUCAGAAGAUUGCAUCACAGACAGGUUGCAUGAAUCUUGUGGUGGAAACCACGAAUUCAAAUGGAGGAAUGUCGUUGGUGGUGAUUUUGGGGUGUUGGACUGUCUACCAUAUGUGGAGUGAAGGGAUUUAUUACUUUAGGUUGUCUUCCAUGAUGGGGGACUCUAGGGACCUGGUUCGUGCGUGAUGUCUGCUUACCUUUUACACUUACUUCACAAUCCCUUGGGUUGUUGUGUAGUCUUAUCGCAUAGACUGGUCUCGUUCUGGGAUUUUGCGGUUUUAAGGGAUUGGAACCUUUUCUGGCUCAUCGAUUUGUUUCCUGUGAGUCCGAAAUUUGUCCUGCUUCCAGCGAUUGUUUUUCGCAUCCGAGAAGUUAGGGCGAGAGUGUUACCUGGAACCCUAUUGGUAUUCGGCUGACGAGCCAAAAAUUAUGAGCCGUUUCCCAUCCUGGUGGAAUCCUGGAUAAGGUGGUGAAGGCAAUAUCGAGUACGCAGCCCGUCCCAUCCCGGUUGUGCUAAUCCCUGAUAAGUCUUUGUUGUGUGCAGACGGAUCGAAGGUUCGGAAUGGGAUGUAAUAUCCGCCGAAUUUGAGAAUGGAGCAACUCGUCCACUUAUUAAUUGUUCGAAUCCGUUGCAAGAAAAUAUAUCUUUGUCGAUUGUUCUUUUGUCUUUAUUUGUGUUUCAAUAAAGAUAAAUGAUUACAUUU
Daphnia magna is the source of this 821-nucleotide long non-coding RNA. RefSeq lists it as uncharacterized. NCBI's taxonomy places the organism in Eukaryota, Metazoa, Arthropoda, Branchiopoda, Diplostraca, Daphniidae. The transcript is spliced from 6 exons. The record is from RefSeq and is a predicted model, not a curated record.